This is a non-coding RNA of Electrophorus electricus (electric eel), 577 nucleotides long. NCBI's taxonomy places the organism in Eukaryota, Metazoa, Chordata, Actinopteri, Gymnotiformes, Gymnotidae. The record is from RefSeq and is a predicted model, not a curated record.
UGAACAUUUGCAUUUAACUAGGUACGAAGUUAGCACUAGAAAUUCACUGAAGUCAGCCACGCAGAAGGGAAGGUCCAUUACAGUUUCUCCAGUACCAUUCCAGACUUCAUUCCUCUCUGCUGAAGAACGACUGUAUGCUGAGGUGUCCUAUAAAAGGCCCUCUCCAGAAGAAGACAGAAAGAAAUCUUGUUGACCUCCCUUGCUGUUGUACAUGUGAUACUUUGCUGCCUUGUGUAUAUGAUCCCUGUGUUUGUUUGGGGGAACUGUUUGGCUGUAUUACCUGGUUUGACCUACUGAAUCAGCUUUGUGCUCUCACCUUGUCCCUUUGGCUAUCUGUUGGUGUACAUUUGUAAAUAUGUACUGGUAGUAGAGGGUGGCUACCAUGUGUUUUGGGGUUGUUUAUCUGUAUUUUUGGUCAGGGAGUUAGUGUAUUACCAUGUCUUUAUUUUCUAGUAGAUGAGUUAGCAUUAGUGUUUUCCUUUCAUAGUGCUGUUUUGUUGUGUUGGCCUUCAUCACUCCUGAAUGCAUACCAGUUGUAUAAAAUAGAACUUGUAUAAUAUAUCUGCAGUUAACUCCU